UAGGGAAUCUUCCGCAAUGGGCGCAAGCCUGACGGAGCAACGCCGCGUGAGCGAGGACGGCCUUCGGGUUGUAAAGCUCUGUUCUUCGGGAAGAAGGGCGGGAGGGAGAAUACUCUUCCGCUUGACGGUACCGAAGGAGAAAGCCCCGGCUAACUACUUG
This 160-nucleotide ribosomal RNA is filed under the name uncultured bacterium. RNAcentral's name for it is "partial 16S rRNA". It matches the Rfam family "Bacterial small subunit ribosomal RNA", at positions 355 to 507 of the family's 1533-position model. The record is from RNAcentral.